Molecule: long non-coding RNA, 742 nt
Organism: Dama dama (fallow deer)
Lineage: Eukaryota; Metazoa; Chordata; Mammalia; Artiodactyla; Cervidae
Exons: 2
Source: RefSeq, a predicted model, not a curated record
AUCACAGGAGGUGAGCAGAGGGGAAAGGAACUUGGGUGAGGAGCACCCACUUCCACCCUCUCCUCUCCUCCCUACUUUUCUCCCUUUCUCUAAACCUACAUCAUCUCCUGGAUCCUCCCCAUUGAGUAACAGUCCAGUUGCUUUGGUUUCUAUAUAUUUUUAAGUCCUCUGGGUGCAGUGGUCUUCCUGGCCAGUGUGUAAAGCAAUAGAGGCCACAGAGGUGGUGGAGAGAUGGCCCUGGUGGAGGCCCAGUCUCCUUACAGAAACCCCGUGAGUUCCGGGGCUGGGGGUGGGUUGUGCCUCAGCGGACAGGAAGCAGCUCUGGGGUUCUAAGAAAACAGCUCCUGCAGGUGACAGAGGAGGGGCGCAGCAACCUAAAAAGAACACGGAGGGGCAGACACAACUUCUUCUCCACGACCAUCUCUUGGGUGCUGCUCAGGACUGCAGCGGGUACAGAAGCCCCCUCCAGGUAGAAGGAGUUAACUGUAUGCUCCCCACAAGGACAUAGAACCUGGAAGCUUGAUGAUGUUGACUCCUGAUUACCUCACCACCAACCAAUCAGAAGACAUCCAUGAGCUGAUCACACACGCUGCAACCCUCUACUUCACUGUCUUUAAAAACCUUUCCCUGAAAGCCAUCAGGGAGUUUGGGUUUUUUAAGCACUAGCUGCCUGGACUCCUUGCUUGGUGUAAUAAAUCCUGUAUGACUCCUGCAAUAAAUCCUGUACUUUCCUUCACUGCCA